Brienomyrus brachyistius is the source of this 3658-nucleotide long non-coding RNA. RefSeq lists it as uncharacterized. The transcript has 3 exons. The record is from RefSeq and is a predicted model, not a curated record. Lineage: Eukaryota; Metazoa; Chordata; Actinopteri; Osteoglossiformes; Mormyridae.
GCAGUUCUGUUUAACACAGUUUUGUUCAUAACAGUUUUCAGGAUUUUCUUCUGUCUAAUUAUUAUGCUUGCAGACAUGUACAUAUAAAUUUAUGAACAAGAAUAUUGUAAAACCGUUUGGAUGAUCUCGUUGCCAGCUUACCCAAGGGGUAAAAUAGUCACACAUUAUAUUAAUACAAUGAUUUCACAUUUUAGAAACAUAUAGUUUAAACAUUCCCCGAAUUAAUACUGUUGGUCACUGUUUAACUUGAUCCUUCCUUUAUGCCAGAUCUAAAGUAGGUCAUCAACAGAAGUAGAAAUUCACACCACCGCGUGAGGAUUUGCUUGUUUGUGAGUGUCGGCGCGUGCACGAGGACGUGUGUGUGUGCAAGGCCCACGAGCACCUCUGAAAAAAGAAGCCACAUCUUAGAAGAAGAGUAUUUAUAUUUUGUCGGUUGCUAACUGAUGCAUGAAUUUCAGCCAUGAUGGCCUUCUCAGUUUUAUAUUAUUUUUAAUUAUUUGCGCAUGCAUAACAUGACAGAGGGUAAAUUUGCUCCGAGUGCACCAUGGAGCUGUGUUUUUUGUGAUUCAUAUGUCGCGACCAUGCUGCAGAGCAAACAGAGAGAAUGCAUCCGUGAGAAGCUGCAGAAUUGUAUUUACACACUGCAUCUUUAAGUAUUAUAAAACUGAAUUAUACUCUAAGAACAUAAAUUUCCAAACAGACCCUUGAGCGUGUGCACUUUACGAAUUUCAUGUUUUAAUGACGGCAGAUGACGAUGGUAAUAAGGGGUAACCUUUGUUCAUUUACAAACUUGUUGAAGUAGGUCAACUACCCUUCAAAAGUGUUUAUUGCUAAUGAGCCAGGCCUUAAAGCUGAGUGUUUCCCACAGCCAGAAAGAUGCAGCAUGAGAAGUUCAGACUGAGACUGUGCAGUUAAAAACAUUCCCUCCCUGGGGUAUUUUUUAACUCACUAAACCAUAACAUCGCGCUGAUUCGCAGUGACUUCCCUCCUGUGUAUUCCUGUCACCCGAAGAACACACACGCCCUCAAAACACCUUGGAAUCGGCACAGAGAUGUAAGCAGCGCAUUUCUCCUUAAUGCCGUUCGUCAGCUUUGCCCUAAUCAAUUCUGUCUCUUUCCCCCCAAGGCCAUAAACCUCGCGCACAGACGAGACACUGUGUUUUACAGUGUCCUUUCAUCCCAUCCGUGUGAGUCGUUUGUCACUGGCAGUGCAUGACUGAGUCCACUCUGCCCUCUUCUCCUUUGCUGCCCUAGAGAUGGAGAGAAUGUGAGAUGGGUUGGGAGGGACAGGGACGGAACGUGAUAGGCAGAGAGACAAGGGCAGGAGGAGCAGGGGAGCCUGCCGAUUCGAUAGGCCCUCACCUCGUUUUACAUGCCUUGCCUUCUGUUCUCCUCUUCUGCAGUUUCCUGUUCCCUCCAUUUGCAAAAGUGUUUGGUCAAGGCAGCUGGGCUCGUGCUCAGCUGAUCAUCAGGAACUCAGUCUUGGAUCUUUAAAGCGGCGUAAUGCUUUUAUUUCUCUGCUGUCCAUUGCUGUCCUUUAGGUAAUUUCAACUUGUGAUUUUUUAAAAGAGCAAAACGCUGAUUUUAGGUGGCUGUUUCUGGCUACUGAGGAAUAGUUGCUGUUUUGUCGAAAAAGCACCCAGAAAUAACCCUGUCAUAAUGACCCAAAAUGUUGCAUCUACUGUAUGGGAAGAUACUGAUCAAAAUAGUCUAGAAACACAAGCCUCUUGCUUGUGUUCUGACUCAUGUCGUUUGCUCUGUUUGUCUGUCUUGUGGUAAUUCCAUGCCUUAUCUCCAGCAGGUAUGUUCUCAGAUGAGGCCUGGGUACAUUAAUGGCCAACUCGCAGGCUUCAGUAGUGCAGAGUGAUGGCCUCGCGUGUUCUGAGAGGCCGGAGAACAGGCGGAACGUUCUCGUGCUGCGCCGCGUCCCCGGCUUUUAGCCAUCUGCUGGGCUUGGCUCCUGGCUGUGCUGCAAACCGUAUGUCGGGUAAUUUUCUUAGCGGAGAGUUUUUUUUUCCAAAACAAUUCAUAGCAGCUGGGCCCCUGGGGGGAUAACAGCAGUCUUCCCCCCCCAGGAAUGCUUUGCUUGUACCGUACGCCCGGCUCCUUAAGCAAUGCGCCACCUUCUGUGUCUUACAUGUAAAUGUUUAUACUUCAAAAGCCAUUAAAUGUUUGAGUCAUGUGAAUUCCCUAGGCCUGUGUAAUUUACACCGAUGUAUAAAACUGCUUGAAAGUAAUUGAAUACAUAAGGUUUGUGAAUUCAGAAGCAGAAUCAACUUUUUUGGCGUAAUUGGUCACAUUAAAGUAAAAUAAACCAACAAAAAUGACAGAACCUGGAGUAGUAACACAGAGCAUUAACCAACCAGCAACAUAGACUAUACAUCAGCGCUCUUCAAAUCUGGAGCUAUAUAAAAGCACUAUAUAAAUGCAACAUUCAUUCAUUCCAUAUUUCCGCAUUUAUUAGUUGAAUAGUGUUACUUCAUAUUUUAUUUUGUGAAAAACAUAAUAUGCAUCUGCUUUCCAAAUGGCUCUCUAUUCCAAAUCCAGGCCUGGUUUUCAGUUCUCCCAGGUAGUUAGUUUAAUAAUUAUUGAUUCUGAUUGGCUGGAGGCUUCACACCUGGCUGUCAGGUAAAGGAAGCCUGGAAAAUCAGCAGGGCUCGGACUUUGUGGAUUGCGAUAAAUAUAGAGUAUCACAGAUGCUGCUGAAUGAUAAUUCUGCAGAGGGUCAAGCCCCCUUUCCAUAUUUUUCAUUUCCAUUCCCUUUUUUAACCCCAAUCUCCUGAUGCACUUUCUGGAGGGAAAAAUAUUUUUCAUGGAGAUGCACGGAGUCCGAGGUACUGAAUGCACAGAUCUGUUUACCAAGGGCAUCCUACCAGGAGCGCAAGUUCCAGACAACCUGGACCUGUGGCUCACCGAAGGACAUGGUCCCAUCCAUCAUCCUCUCACAGUCCUCUGAGAAUUUUCUUCCAUGAGUCAUUGGAAACGACAGCAUUCAGGCCGAUUUCGAUAUCUACUGAGGGAUCGCGGCUGUGAUUUUUAUUUUUUUUGAUGAGGUUUCAGAUACAGAAACAUCAAAAACUGUGGCACCAUGACAUCGUCGUCUGAACACUUUCUACUCGCUUUAAGCUCUUUGCACACUUUCCGGAACCCCUACAGUCUUACUUUAGCUCACUCAUCCCUCGCGGCUGAGAUGUUCCAGAGGGACCUGCUUACCAGGAAGCUACGUCUGGGAGAAACGGCGGUGUUUCAAUGCUCUCUUUAUGUUCACAGCUGUGUGAAAAUAUCAGACGUGUCUAAUUCCCAGAAACUCUACUGACAGAUUCCUUUUCCAUGUAGGAAGCAACCCUCUUGCUAAAGGUUUUCGGCUGUUUCUUUCAGUGCACUUUUGCCAGAAAUGGACCCUUUCGGCAAAGCAAAAGAACAUUCCAUGGGUCUUUAGAAUGAGCUGUACACUGUACUGGGCAGUACGUAUAAUAUUGAUUUUCUACAUUAUUAUUGGGUAUAUUUCUGACGUGUAUCCAGAAUGAUAUUUUUCUCAUUUUUACCCAGGGGGGAGAUCUCCUCGGUCCUCUCCUUUGGGGAAUAAACACCAGGUUUUAACAUUUCAUGUCUGGGGUGCAAAAAAUAAAAUGUAAUAAAAAUGUAUGAUUUAUUUAUAA